Non-coding RNA from Glossina palpalis gambiensis, 93 nucleotides. The record is from Rfam. NCBI's taxonomy places the organism in Eukaryota, Metazoa, Arthropoda, Insecta, Diptera, Glossinidae.
GGGGGUAGUUUUUAGUACGUAUGCGUUAGGGACGACGAAUCAUGCAUGCUGCUAUUAAGAUCCAGAAGUAUCUUUUGAAGAUCUUCUACCUCC